UACAGAGGGGGCAAGCGUUGUUCGGAAUUACUGGGCGUAAAGGGCGCGUAGGCGGCCCGCUAAGUCGAACGUGAAAUCCCUGGGCUCAACCCAGGAACUGCGUCCGAGACUGGAGGGCUCGAAUCCGGGAGAGGGAUGUGGAAUUCCAGGUGUAGCGGUGAAAUGCGUAGAUAUCUGGAGGAACACCGGUGGCGAAGGCGGCAUCCUGGACCAACACUGACACUGAGGAGCGAAAGCCAGGGGAGCAAACGGG
RNAcentral lists this ribosomal RNA (253 nucleotides) under uncultured bacterium. RNAcentral describes it as "partial 16S ribosomal RNA". It matches the Rfam family "Bacterial small subunit ribosomal RNA", at positions 524 to 776 of the family's 1533-position model. The record is from RNAcentral.